GAAAGCGUUUGCCUCUAGUCUCUAGGCUCUCAGAGGGCGAGUAGAGAACAUUUAAGUGAAUCAAAUAUUUCUUCCUUUAUGUCUUUCUCAUUUGAUUCAUGGGGAAGGAUCUAUUUUUUCUAGUUGAAAGAAACUGUAAAUAAGCUUGAAAUUAUUCUGCUGCAGAAUAUGGCUCCCGUCUGGAGGAGGAUGUGGUGGGGACCCCUCAGGGCACAACCAGAGGACGUGGCCAUUCUCCUACGGGUAUUGGGCUAAUAGAGACCCUGAUGCUAGAGUUGAUGGAGCUCACACUGAAGAUGCUCAGGCAUAUACAACUUCAGAACUCUUGUACUUGGAAAGCUGAACGGAGCCCAGACUUUGAAGUCUAGUCUUCUUUUCAUUUUUUUUUAAACUAAAAGUAUACAAAGUUGUGGAUUAAAUAGGACAAACUUCUUAAUUUAAAAAUGAACAAAAAAAGGCAAAACAUGUUUAUUUGGAUUUGACACCUAGCAGGAUCAUAGGUUCAGGCUAGAAAUCCAAAUCCCCUCACUAAAAUAAAAUGAGGUGACCUUGACAUUAACACUCCCAAUGCUCCUGCUCUGCCCACACCUGCUUGACUAGGGGGAAGCCCUUAUUUUCUUUAGUGUUUUUCUAUAACCACAAUGGAUUUCUGAAGGCUUAAAAAAAUUGAUUAGUUUUCACCUGCCAGGGACCAGGGAGGUAAUUUCAGCAACAUUUUUUUGGUUAGCAUUGGUUGACUGGCUCUGCUAAUAAAAUGGGGAUGUGUCCAUUAUAGAAAAACUGAAAAGUAGUAACUAUAAUGAACUAAAAAAAUAAAUGCUUUUAUGAGUUAGAGAGUACUUUCUUCCUAGUGUUUCCCAAUAUUUUUAACUGAAAUAUUACUCAUGUGUAUACGGGCAGGUAGCAUUGAUGUAGGGUUUGAGAAUUACAAAGUGAACUCCCAAUAACCAGGUCAAGAAAUAGGAAAUCACAUCACAUAAUCUAUAAGCAUGCACCAAUAUGACUUUCAUCUAAAUUGUUUCCCCUGUUCAUUAUAUCACGUAAGUAU
Long non-coding RNA from Talpa occidentalis (Iberian mole), 1048 nucleotides. RefSeq lists it as uncharacterized. NCBI's taxonomy places the organism in Eukaryota, Metazoa, Chordata, Mammalia, Eulipotyphla, Talpidae. The record is from RefSeq and is a predicted model, not a curated record. The transcript has 3 exons.